RNAcentral lists this ribosomal RNA (384 nucleotides) under Triticum aestivum (bread wheat). Its description in RNAcentral is "partial small subunit ribosomal RNA". Lineage: Eukaryota; Viridiplantae; Streptophyta; Magnoliopsida; Poales; Poaceae. The record is from RNAcentral.
AUGACGUUCAGAAGGGAUUUAAUUGGACCUAGACUCCAAUCGUGGAACAUACUGCUCCAGCAGUUAACCACGGUACAGUUGUCACAAGGAUCCUAUGUCUUUCAUUGGAACCUACAUGGGAAUGGACAAUUCUUAGUGGAUUCUAUGUAUAGAGCUUUGAUCCAUUCAGACGUGCCAGUUGAUAAUAAGAAGAAGAUCUGGAAGAUGAAGAUACCUCUUAAGAAUAAAAUCAUUGCAUGGUAUCUUCAUCGCAGAGUCAUUCUUACUAAAGAUAACCUCAUUAAGAGGAAUUGGCAUAGAAGUAUGCAAUGUGUAUUUUGUCCGCAUGAUGAGAUAAUAAAACAUUUGUCCUUCCAUUGUAAAUUGGCUCGUUCUAUAUUGUGA